RNAcentral lists this ribosomal RNA (613 nucleotides) under uncultured bacterium. Its description in RNAcentral is "bacterial SSU rRNA". The stretch from base 1 to 534 matches the Rfam family "Bacterial small subunit ribosomal RNA", at positions 338 to 873 of the family's 1533-position model. The record is from RNAcentral.
CCUACGGGAGGCAGCAGUAGGGAAUAUUGGUCAAUGGGCGAAAGCCUGAACCAGCCAUGCCGCGUGCAGGAUGACGGCCCUAUGGGUUGUAAACUGCUUUUGUACGGGAAGAAUAAGCUCUACGUGUAGAGUGAUGACGGUACCGUAAGAAUAAGGAUCGGCUAACUCCGUGCCAGCAGCCGCGGUAAUACGGAGGAUCCAAGCGUUGUCCGGAUUUAUUGGGUUUAAAGGGUGCGUAGGCGGUUUGAUAAGUCAGUGGUGAAAGUUUGCGGCUUAACCGUAAAAUUGCCAUUGAAACUGUCAGACUUGAGUAUGGUUGAGGUAGCUGGAAUGUGUCAUGUAGCGGUGAAAUGCUUAGAUAUGAUACAGAACACCAAUUGCGAAGGCAGGUUACUAAACCAUAACUGACGCUGAGGCACGAAAGCAUGGGGAUCAAACAGGAUUAGAUACCCUGGUAGUCCAUGCUGUAAACGUUGAUUACUCGUUGUUGGCGAUACACUGUCNGNACUAAGACGAAGAGUAAGUAAGUACACCGNGGAGACGAACCGCGAGUUAGUUAACGUACGAAGAAGUAGAGGCGNGAGAGNGCGACGGACGACGACGAGGGAGGAGG